This is a small nucleolar RNA of Schistocerca nitens (vagrant locust), 115 nucleotides long. The record is from RefSeq and is a predicted model, not a curated record. NCBI's taxonomy places the organism in Eukaryota, Metazoa, Arthropoda, Insecta, Orthoptera, Acrididae.
UUUUCAACUGAGGUUGAAGUGUUACAUGUUCAUAUGGAAGUGCUUUAAUACGUCUCCCCACCACAUUUCAUAGGUGUUCUUAAUGUGGGGGAACGCCAGUCCUUUCGCAAUAUAU